UACGUAGGGUGCGAGCGUUAAUCGGAAUUAUUGGGCGUAAAGAGCUCGUAGGCGGUCUGUCGCGUCUGCUGUGAAAACUCGGGGCUUAACCCCGGGCCUGCAGUGGGUACGGGCAGACUAGAGUGCGGUAGGGGAGACUGGAAUUCCUGGUGUAGCGGUGAAAUGCGCAGAUAUCAGGAGGAACACCGGUGGCGAAGGCGGGUCUCUGGGCCGUAACUGACGCUGAGGAGCGAAAGCGUGGGGAGCGAACAGG
This 253-nucleotide ribosomal RNA is filed under the name uncultured bacterium. RNAcentral's name for it is "partial 16S ribosomal RNA". It matches the Rfam family "Bacterial small subunit ribosomal RNA", at positions 524 to 776 of the family's 1533-position model. The record is from RNAcentral.